Molecule: RNA transcript, 2072 nt
Organism: Neodiprion virginianus
Lineage: Eukaryota; Metazoa; Arthropoda; Insecta; Hymenoptera; Diprionidae
Gene name: fructose-bisphosphate aldolase-like
Exons: 6
Source: RefSeq, a predicted model, not a curated record
ACUGCACCAGUCCAGAGGGUGCGCUCCUCGAGGAAGCGACCAGUUUCUGGAGCAGCAGGGAAAAAAGGCUUAAAAAUGUAGCCGAAACGCGCCUCGGGUUCUGCUCGAAGCAGCGAGCAGCGCCUCUCGCCAUUGUCCGUUGUUGUCACUUCGAAUUUCGUCACGAUGUAUUAUCGAUGUAUUUAAAUGUAUCGUUGUAUUCGUUUUAUCGUGUGUAAUGAAUAUUCCCAAGUGUCUGAUCGUAUAAUUGUUGCAUCAAUUGCUAUCACGCCUUUGGUAAAAUAACUUGAAAUGGGAUGAAUUAUAUUAUACGUAUAUUCGUAAUAUACUUGAGACCGUGAUGUAUUUGUUAUACAUGUACAUCUGCACCAUCAUUUUUCCCGAGGAGUUUACGCGGUUGUAAAUUUUUCAUCGAAUUCCAAAGUUUUUGAACGAGAAAAAGGUAAUUACCUUCUAUUGCACGUCUUUUUUCACUCACGUUCUUCGUUGUCGGUAACACGCUCGCGUUUCUGUGUUCUAAAAACCGUUGAAAUAAUCGAACCAGCUUCGAAGAUACGACCGAAGCCCUUUGAAAUCCAGUUUCAUCAGCUGAUCGACAUAAUUCCAAUCAAAUUCACAAUGGUUGCUGAAAAAUACGCCAGCGCUGAGCCCGAGCUCAAGCAGGAGCUCAAGGGGAUCGCCGAGAAAAUUGUUUCAAUCGGCAAGGGUAUCUUGGCCGCGGAUGAGUCGACCGCCACCAUCGGCAAGCGUCUUCAGGACAUCAACGUUGAAAACAACGAAGCAAAUCGCAAGGCUUACCGUCAGCUGCUUUUCACGACCGAUAAGGAGGUGAUCAGCCAGCACGUUUCGGGCGUGAUUCUCUUCCACGAGACUCUCUACCAGAAGGCCGACGACGGUACCCCGUUCGUAGAGCUUCUUCGUCAGCGCAACAUCAUCCCCGGCAUCAAGGUCGACAAGGGCGUCGUUCCCCUGUUCGGUACCAAGGACGAAUGCACCACCCAGGGUCUCGACGACCUCCAGGCACGCUGCAUCCAGUACAAAAAGGACGGAUGCGACUUCGCCAAGUGGCGCUGCGUCCUCAAGAUCACCAAGGACACACCCAGCAAACUCGCCAUCCUGGAGAACGCCAACGUCCUCGCACGCUACGCCAGCAUCUGCCAGAGCGCCCGCAUCGUUCCCAUCGUCGAGCCGGAAAUCCUUCCCGACGGUGACCACGAUCUUGCCCGUUGCCAACAGGUCACUGAGGAGGUACUCGCCGCCGUAUACAAGGCCCUCUCCGACCACCACGUUUACCUCGAGGGAACACUUUUGAAACCGAACAUGGUCACUCCCGGUCAAAGCUGCCCGAAGAAAGCUUCGCCCCAGGAAAUCGCGGCCGCGACUGUAACGGCCCUCCAGCGCACCGUGCCACCAGCAGUCACUGGUGUCACCUUCUUGAGCGGUGGACAGUCGGAGGAGGAGGCUUCGGUUAAUCUUGACGCGAUCAACAAGUUCCCCGGAAAGAAACCCUGGGCUCUGACCUUCAGCUACGGACGUGCCCUUCAGGCUUCCGUCCUCCGCGCGUGGGCCGGCAAACCGGAACAAAUCGCGGCCGGACAACAGGAACUGAUCAAGAGAGCCAAGGCGAACGGCGCAGCUUGUCAAGGCAAAUACGUUGCGGGCAGUAUUUCGAGUAAAGCUGCAGGUUCCUCGCUCUUCGUCAAAUCACACGCCUACUAAUUUUUGCGACAAGUCCUUCCGUUCCGCACCGUAACUGUAUAUCACAAGCACGCCAACAGCGACGCAGCUCAAGGAAAAUACGCCGGCGGAGUAACUGGAGCAGCGGGUGACGCUGGUCUUUUCGUAGCCAAUCAUGCGUACUAAUUUAUAAACGCUAUCAAGAACACAGUUGAUGAAUAUUACCUCGCGCAAUCAUCGCCACGACAUCCGCGGAAAAGGAAGUAAUUUAUUACGUUAAAAAUAUAGAAGCAUCUGCAUGAGAACAAACGACGAAAUGUAAGAAAAAACGGAAACAUCGAUGGUUUACAAUAACAAGAGAAAAAUAAAACAAGUAAAUGUACUGAAGGAGAAUA